RNAcentral lists this ribosomal RNA (373 nucleotides) under uncultured organism. Its description in RNAcentral is "partial 16S ribosomal RNA". It matches the Rfam family "Bacterial small subunit ribosomal RNA", at positions 527 to 896 of the family's 1533-position model. The record is from RNAcentral.
GUAGGUGGCAAGCGUUGUCCGGAAUUAUUGGGCGUAAAGCGCGCGCAGGCGGUUCUUUAAGUCUGAUGCGAAAGCCCACGGCUCAACCGUGGAGGGUCAUUGGAAACUGGAGAACUUGAGUACAGAAGAGGAAAGCGGAAUUCCACGUGUAGCGGUGAAAUGCGUAGAGAUGUGGAGGAACACCAGUGGCGAAGGCGGCUUUCUGGUCUGUAACUGACGCUGAGGCGCGAAAGCGUGGGGAGCAAACAGGGAUUAGAUACCCUGGUAGUCCACGCCGUAAACGAUGAGUGCUAAGUGUUAGGGGGUUUCCCGCCCCUUAGUGCUGCAGCUAACGCAUUAAGCACUCCGCCUGGGGAGUACGGCCGCAAGGCUG